ACGAACGCUGGCGGCGUGCUUAAUACAUGCAAGUCGAACGGAAAGGCCCUGCUUUUGUGGGGUGCUCGAGUGGCGAACGGGUGAGUAACACGUGAGUAACCUGCCCUUGACUUUGGGAUAACUUCAGGAAACUGGGGCUAAUACCGGAUAGGAGCUCCUGCUGCAUGGUGGGGGUUGGAAAGUUUCGGCGGUUGGGGAUGGACUCGCGGCUUAUCAGCUUGUUGGUGGGGUAGUGGCUUACCAAGGCUUUGACGGGUAGCCGGCCUGAGAGGGUGACCGGCCACAUUGGGACUGAGAUACGGCCCAGACUCCUACGAGAGGCAGCAGUGGGGAAUAUUGCACAAUGGGCGGAAGCCUGAUGCAGCAACGCCGCGUGCGGGAUGACGGCCUUCGGGUUGUAAACCGCUUUCGCCUGUGACGAAGCGUGAGUGACGGUAAUGGGUAAAGAAGCACCGGCUAACUACGUG
This 467-nucleotide ribosomal RNA is filed under the name uncultured bacterium. RNAcentral's name for it is "partial 16S ribosomal RNA". It matches the Rfam family "Bacterial small subunit ribosomal RNA", at positions 29 to 507 of the family's 1533-position model. The record is from RNAcentral.